UAGGGAGGAGCUUGCGUCACAUUAGUUAGUUGGUGGGGUAAAGGCCCACCAAGACUAUGAUGUGUAGCCGGGCUGAGAGGUUGAACGGCCACAUUGGGACUGAGACACGGCCCAAACUCCUACGGGAGGCAGCAGUACGGAAUUUUCGGCAAUGGAGGAAACUCUGACCGAGCAACGCCGCGUGAACGAUGAAGUAUUUCGGUACGUAAAGUUCUUUUAUUAUGGAAGAAUAAAUGAUGGAACAAUCAUUCUGACGGUACCUAAUGAAUAAGCCCCGGCUAACUAUGUGCCAGCAGCCGCGGUAAUACAUAGGGGGCAAGCGUUAUCCGGAAUUAUUGGGCGUAAAGGGUGCGUAGGCGGUUAAAUAAGUUUAUGGUCUAAGUGCAAUGCUCAACAUUGUGAUGCUAUAAUAACUGUUUAGCUAGAGUAAGAUAGAGGCAAGUGGAAUUCCAUGUGUAGUGGUAAAAUGCGUAAAUAUAUGGAGGAACACCAGUAGCGAAGGCGGCUUGCUGGGUCUUUACUGACGCUGAGGCACGAAAGCGUGGGGAGCAAACAGGAUUAGAUACCCUGGUAGUCCACGCCGUAAACGAUGAGUACUAAGCGUUGGGUAAAACCAGUGUUGAAGUUAACACAUUAAGUACUCCGCCUGAGUAGUACGUACGCAAGUAUGAAACUUAAAGGAAUUGACGGGACUCCGCACAAGCGGUGGAUCAUGUUGUUUAAUUCGAAGGUACCCGAAAAACCUCACCAGGUCUUGACAUGCUUCUGCAAAGCUGUAGAAACACAGUGGAGGUUAUCAGUUGCACAGGUGGUGCAUGGUUGUCGUCAGCUCGUGUCGUGAGAUGUUGGGUUAAGUCCCGCAACGAGCGCAACCCUUAUUGUUAGUUACCAGCACGUAAUGGUGGGGACUUUAGCAAGACUGCCAGUGAUGAAUCGGAGGAAGGUGGGGACGACGUCAAAUCAUCAUGCCCCUUAUGACCUGGGCUACAAACGUGAUACAAUGGCUGUUACAAAGGGUAGCUGAAGCGCAAGUUUUUGGCGAAUCUCAAAAAAACAGUCCCAGUUCGGAUUGAAGUCUGCAACUCGACUUCAUGAAGUUGGAAUCGCUAGUAAUCGCGAAUCAGCAUGUCGCGGUGAAUACGUUCGCGGGGUUUGUACACACCGCCCG
This 1168-nucleotide ribosomal RNA is filed under the name 'Quercus humboldtii' aster yellows phytoplasma. RNAcentral's name for it is "bacterial SSU rRNA". It matches the Rfam family "Bacterial small subunit ribosomal RNA", at positions 220 to 1396 of the family's 1533-position model. Lineage: Bacteria; Bacillati; Mycoplasmatota; Mollicutes; Acholeplasmatales; Acholeplasmataceae. The record is from RNAcentral.